AAAAUAUUAUGCAGUUUUAAACUCCAUGAUACUAUUUUGGUAAGGUUGUUACUAAAUUUGGUUUAAAUAUUUUUUUAUAUGUAGUAAAAUGCAUAGUCAUUAAGUAAGAAAGAAAAAAAUAAAUAUUUAUUUCAUAUAAUAAAUUUAUAACUGUGAAAUUUACUGUGUAUACAACAGAUUAUAGAUUGUUUUUUAGAAUAAUUAUUUUUUUCAAUUUAAAUACCAAAAUAAUCAGUUUUUAAAAAUAAUUAUCAAAAUAACCAUCUUUUUUAACUGAUGAAUCAGUUGAACUGGCGCAUCCAAUAAUCAUUCAAAGGAGGCGUCAUUGAAGCUGACGCAUACUCCCAAUGGCAUUGCACUUAAGCGUCAUGGUAGCUGGCGCAUGCAUAUGCGGUUUAGUUUGUGCGCCAAUGCAUCUGACGCAUGCAUGUAUCAGCUUGUGUCAUGCGUGUGUGGCGCCUAGGGCAUUGCCGCAUGCAUUCAUGGUUUCAUUUAUAAAUAACAUGCGCAUCUCCCAUAUUUCUUCAGACUUCUUACCCUUCAACCCCAUUUUCUUUCAUUCUACUUUAAUCUCCUUCAAUUUUUUGUUCUUUAACCAUGUAUGAAUACGUUCACAAGAGAAAUGUCGAUUUAAUCUUUUCAGCAAUGCAGCCUCCGAUAAAGAUUCGACUUUGGAAUAUAGAAUCGUUUGAACGUCUUAAUCGGACGUUGAACCGUUGGUUAGAUGGAGAAAUUGCAGAUGGUAAAAGGAUUAGAAGAAUUCAAUGGCUUGAGUCCACGUUCAACCAAAAUGGAGAAGUGCAUGUAUGGGUGGAUAUUAAGACUGACAGAGACAUUCACAGGAUGAUGUAUAAUAUGUUCAAAAUUAUUUUGAUGGCUGUAAUCGCUUAGUUAUAGUAAUGAUAUUUUAUUUGUUGUAGUUUGUUGCAUUCUUAUUUAUGUGUUGUUUGUUUGUUGAAUAUGUUGUAUUUGUUUGUGAUGGUAUUUCCUCACAAAGUUAUCAUAUGAAAUAAAUAUUAUUUUUAAUAUAAAGAAAAGGAGGUACAAUUAAAA
RNAcentral lists this long non-coding RNA (1053 nucleotides) under Lathyrus oleraceus (garden pea). Its description in RNAcentral is "Pisum sativum (pea) long non-coding RNA (PSAT_LNC019932)". The record is from RNAcentral. Lineage: Eukaryota; Viridiplantae; Streptophyta; Magnoliopsida; Fabales; Fabaceae.